RNAcentral lists this transfer RNA (68 nucleotides) under Megalothorax incertus. Its description in RNAcentral is "tRNA-Cys". Lineage: Eukaryota; Metazoa; Arthropoda; Collembola; Neelipleona; Neelidae. The record is from RNAcentral.
AAUCCUACUUAUAGGCUGAGAUGAAAGAUUGCAAAUCUUUAAUAGAUAUAUUCCUCAGCUUAAGAUUU